RNAcentral lists this ribosomal RNA (407 nucleotides) under uncultured bacterium. RNAcentral's name for it is "partial 16S ribosomal RNA". It matches the Rfam family "Bacterial small subunit ribosomal RNA", at positions 30 to 526 of the family's 1533-position model. The record is from RNAcentral.
AUUGAACGCUGGCGGCAGGCCUAACACAUGCAAGUCGAGCGGAGCGGCGGACGGGCGAGUAAUGCCUAGGUAUCUGACCGGUCGUGGGGGCUAACGUCCGGAAACGGGCGCUAAUCCAGUAUACUACUUGAUGAGCCUAGGUCGGAUUAGCGAGUUGGUGGGGUAAAGGCCUACCAAGGCGACGAACCGUAACUGGUCUGAGAGGAUGAUCAGCCAAACUGGAACUGAGACACGGUCCAGACGCCUACGGGAGGCAGCAGUGGGGAAUAUUGGACAAUGGGCGAAAGCCUGAUGCAGCCAUGCCGCGUGUGUGAAGAAGGUCUUCGGAUUGUAAAGCACUUUAAGUUGGGAGGCGUUACCAACAGAAGAAGCACCGGCUAACUGCGUGCCAGCAGCCGCGGUAAUUC